CCAACAGGUAUUCCCUCAGUAACGGCGAGUGAAGUGGGAAGAGCUCAAGCCGUCAAUCUCCGACCGUCGGUCGGCGAAUUGUAGUCUGGAGAAGCGCUAUCCGUGCGACGCUCGGCGGUGUAAGUUGCUUGGAACGGCAUAUCGCAGAGGGUGAGAAUCCCGUCUUGGACCGUGGAGCGCGCACCACGAGGCGCUUUCGAAGAGUCGGGUUGUUUGGGAAUGCAGCCCAAAGCGGGUGGUAAACUCCACCUAAGGCUAAAUAGGGGCACGAGACCGAUAGCGAAAAAGUACCGUGAGGGAAAGAUGAAAAGCACUUUGAAAAGAGAGUCAAAGAGUACGUGAAACCGUUGGAGGGGAAGCGAAUGCGGCCAGCAAUGUCAUCGUGCAGACUCAGCCGGCCGCCGGGCGAGGCGUCGGACCACGGAUCCGAAGGGACCGCGUCUUUCGUCCCGAGCCUGGCGUCCGCGUCGCAUUUCUGCCGAAGACGAGCCAGCGCCGGUGGGAGGCGUCGUCGUGGCGGCAUCGUGAGGUGGAUGCGCUCCUCAGGAGUGCUUCGUUAUAGACGUUGUCGUAGGCGUCGUCUCGCACCGUGGAGACGGAAUGCCGGUGGCGGCGCACGCCGGCUUUGCCGGCUAGGCGGGGUCCGGACGUCCGGAUGGCCCUGUGCGGACUGCAUGCAGUGCGCGCCGUGGCCUUCUUGGCGUCGUGGCCUGCGGCCGUAGGUGCGCCGAGGGCGCUGGCGGUGAAAUGGCCUCAUCCGACCCGUCUUGAAACACGGACCAAGGAGUCUAACACGCGUGCGAGUCCUGGGGCACGGAAACCCUCGGGCGCAAUGAAAGUGAACGUCUGGGUGAGAGCCGCCCAUGGUGGGCGGCGCGUCAUCGACCGAUCU
This 892-nucleotide ribosomal RNA is filed under the name Plakortis halichondrioides. RNAcentral describes it as "eukaryotic LSU rRNA". It matches the Rfam family "Eukaryotic large subunit ribosomal RNA", at positions 65 to 771 of the family's 3401-position model. The record is from RNAcentral. Lineage: Eukaryota; Metazoa; Porifera; Homoscleromorpha; Homosclerophorida; Plakinidae.